UACGUAGGCAGCGAGCGUUGUUCGGAAUUACUGGGCGUAAAGAGUGUGUAGGCGGUGUUCCCAGUCUGUUGUGAAAUCUCCCGGCUUAACUGGGAGGGUGCAGCGGAAACUAGAAUGCUAGAGGGUGGGAGAGGUAAGCGGAAUUCCUGGUGUAGCGGUGAAAUGCGUAGAUAUCAGGAGGAACACCGGUGGCGAAGGCGGGUCUCUGGGCCGAUAUCGACGCUGAGGAGCGAAAGCGUGGGGAGCGAACAGG
RNAcentral lists this ribosomal RNA (253 nucleotides) under uncultured bacterium. RNAcentral describes it as "partial 16S ribosomal RNA". It matches the Rfam family "Bacterial small subunit ribosomal RNA", at positions 524 to 776 of the family's 1533-position model. The record is from RNAcentral.